Molecule: long non-coding RNA, 636 nt
Organism: Stegastes partitus (bicolor damselfish)
Lineage: Eukaryota; Metazoa; Chordata; Actinopteri; Pomacentridae
Exons: 2
Source: RefSeq, a predicted model, not a curated record
UAAAAUCGCGACGAACGCAUUUAGUUCAAAUAUUUUCAAAAUACACUCCAGCAAAAAAUACAAUUAUGCCACAACACAAAUAUGAUAUAAAAAGUCUUUUUUAUUUGCAUUUUACGGGAAAAAAAUACAAAAAAAUUUAAAUAAAAAAGCGUGAAUCACACAGGCCAAGCAAAGCACUUAGAAGUAAACUAUUAACAUUUAAUAAACGGGUUCAAAAGCUGCUUGUAAAGAGAUAUAAAGACAUUUAAGGGUUUAUCAAGAUGUUUCUCAAUUACAGUUAAAUCUGUUUCUGUACAAACAGAUGAUAAAUAACCAAUAUGUAGUUAAAUUAAAUAUUUCUGCAUGAGUUUUAAUUGUUGGCAUGUUAAUAAAAGCCUAAAAUGUCCUUAUAUCUCCUCACAGCAACAUCAUGGUGAAUUAUGAACACUUUAUUAAAUGCUAAUGUACAGGCUGGUUACAGUUAAAGUGUUUUCUUGUUUAUUCUGUUUAACUGAAGCUCGUGUUAAAGCUCAAAAUAGAGAAAUUGUGUCUCAUGCUGGAGCUACAGUUGCAGGGAAGUGAAGGCAGACACACUAACUACACCUGUGAGCUGCUCAGUACAAGCAGAGCUUCCCCUUAAAUCAGUUUGAUUUAUUA